This 69-nucleotide transfer RNA is filed under the name Tanystylum orbiculare. Its description in RNAcentral is "tRNA-Leu". Lineage: Eukaryota; Metazoa; Arthropoda; Pycnogonida; Pantopoda; Tanystylidae. The record is from RNAcentral.
UACUAAGAGAAUAUUAAAUAUAUUCAUUAAUAAUGCUUAAAACUAUUGCAUAAAUUCUGCCAUCUUAGU